GACGAACGCUGGCGGCGUGCUUAACACAUGCAAGUCGAACGGAAAGGCCCUGCUUUUGUGGGGUGCUCGAGUGGCGAACGGGUGAGUAACACGUGAGUAACCUGCCCUUGACUUUGGGAUAACUUCAGGAAACUGGGGCUAAUACCGGAUAGGAGCUCCUGCUGCAUGGUGGGGGUUGGAAAGUUUCGGCGGUUGGGGAUGGACUCGCGGCUUAUCAGCUUGUUGGUGGGGUAGUGGCUUACCAAGGCUUUGACGGGUAGCCGGCCUGAGAGGGUGACCGGCGACAUGGGGACUGAGAUACGGCCCAGACUCCUACGGGAGGCAGCAGUGGGGAAUAUUGCACAAUGGGCGGAAGCCUGAUGCAGCAACGCCGCGUGCGGGAUGACGGCCUUCGGGUUGUAAACCGCUUUCGCCUGUGACGAAGCGUGAGUGACGGUAAUGGGUAAAGAAGCACCGGCUAACUACGU
This 467-nucleotide ribosomal RNA is filed under the name uncultured bacterium. RNAcentral's name for it is "partial 16S ribosomal RNA". It matches the Rfam family "Bacterial small subunit ribosomal RNA", at positions 28 to 506 of the family's 1533-position model. The record is from RNAcentral.